UAGGGAAUCUUCGGCAAUGGACGGAAGUCUGACCGAGCAACGCCGCGUGAGUGAAGAAGGUUUUCGGAUCGUAAAGCUCUGUUGUUAGAGAAGAACGUUGGUAGGAGUGGAAAAUCUACCAAGUGACGGUAACUAACCAGAAAGGGACGGCUAACUACGUGCCAGCAGCCGCGGUAAUACGUAGGUCCCGAGCGUUGUCCGGAUUUAUUGGGCGUAAAGCGAGCGCAGGCGGUUCUUUAAGUCUGAAGUUAAAGGCAGUGGCUUAACCAGUGUACGCUUUGGAAACUGGAGGACUUGAGUGCAGAAGGGGAGAGUGGAAUUCCAUGUGUAGCGGUGAAAUGCGUAGAUAUAUGGAGGAACACCGGUGGCGAAAGCGGCUCUCUGGUAUGUAACUGACGCUGAGGCUCGAAAGCGUGGGGAGCAAACAGG
This 429-nucleotide ribosomal RNA is filed under the name Bacillota bacterium. RNAcentral's name for it is "Firmicutes bacterium partial 16S ribosomal RNA". It matches the Rfam family "Bacterial small subunit ribosomal RNA", at positions 355 to 776 of the family's 1533-position model. Lineage: Bacteria; Bacillati; Bacillota. The record is from RNAcentral.